UAAAUAGAAAGAAGAGUCUUUUCCGUCUUCUCUUCUCCAUCCAUCUAUCGUCUCCGAAUUAGGCCCCCACACAUUGAGAAGGGCUCAAGAGACAUCGGAGCACUCCAUCAUUCGGCCAGUCCUCUUCGAAACAACACAAAACC
Non-coding RNA from Caenorhabditis elegans, 143 nucleotides. The record is from Ensembl. NCBI's taxonomy places the organism in Eukaryota, Metazoa, Nematoda, Chromadorea, Rhabditida, Rhabditidae.